CCACCAUCGCCCUGUCCAACGCCACCAUCGUCCGGUCCACCGUCGCCGCCUCCAUCGUCCGGUCCACCGCCGCAGCCGCCGCCACACCAUCCUCCGGUCCACCGCCGCCGCUGCCUCCCCUUCCCGCGGAAGGCCGUUCUUCCGCCCGCAUCUGCCUCACCACCGGCGUAGCGCCGGUCUCCACCUCGCCACCCGCCGGAGCACCAGCACCCGCCUCCCCACCGAGCUCCCGUACUAGUCCCCCCAUUCAACUUUACGCGUCUUCACCUCUGGCUGUCCGUACUCCUCUCCUCGCUGCAUCACAAGCCCUCUGUCUUCAUAUCUCUGAAACAUCAGCAAACAGCUAGGGGAGUUGGCUGCCACCCUUUUCGACGCCGUAAUUUCCCAGCUUGAACAAGUAUAUUGAACUUGUUUGAGCUGCAUGUUGAUGACGAGGAAGAUGACAGUGCCCGAAUCCAAAUUGAGCAAGAGGCUAACCGGAUUAUUGACACAUAUGCAAGGAAAAAGGUGAAAGACAUGUUGUACCAACUUCGUGUGGAUGCUGUGAA
Long non-coding RNA from Triticum dicoccoides, 548 nucleotides. RefSeq lists it as uncharacterized. The record is from RefSeq and is a predicted model, not a curated record. The transcript has 3 exons. Lineage: Eukaryota; Viridiplantae; Streptophyta; Magnoliopsida; Poales; Poaceae.